GACCCUAAAUCUUUAUAUUUGUUUGUAGUGGAAGAAAGUGGAGGUUACCAUGGCAUUUGAACUCAUUGAUAAUGUUGGCACAGAAGCAUUGCUGUUAAUUAAGCGUUGUUAAGUGUAUUGUUAGAAAUGAAUUGCCCACAGUAGAUACUUUAACAGUAUCUCUUUUGUAUCUCACAGAAAAUAGGUGGAAGGCAAGGAAUUAAAGUGGGAACAAGUGUUUGAGGCUGUGCAAGAGCGGGACAAUCAAAUCAAGAUGCUGACAGAGCAAGUAUACGGGGGAGAUGGAGAGAAAUGCCCUGCUCAAAGAGGAACUCAAGAAUCCCCUGAAGAAAGACAGAGGUGCUUGUCAAAUUCUCUUGUUGUAAAAGCACAGCCAUUUAGCACAUUAGCAUGAGCUCUUUAGUAUAAGUGUAGCCAUAGAUUCUGAUGUAGCAUUGGACAAGCUAAAUGCUAAGCUGCAAGCCACAGAGACAAGAGCACGGGAGGCAGAACGUGUGGCUGAGCUAGCCGAGACAGACGCCAGGGACACCCUAAACCACAUGAUAAUCUACGAGUCUGGCACUGAUGGUCUGCAGGUGGCCAUCGCUGAGAUCAAAGAAUGUAAGAAUCGGAUGAGAGUGUGAGACGGCGAGACGGAGGCCAUGACCACAGAUAUCAACCAGCUGGAAAUGAGAAUCAAUGCAGAUGUUAAGGAAAGUCUCAGUCUGGAGCCCCAAGAGGAAGUGGAUCUGACGGAAUUCAGAAGAACCGAAUCUCUGAAACAGCGGCAGUUCAAAGCAGAGAACCAGGAUCUCACUAAAGAUAUCGAACCACUGGAAGGGGAGGUACUUGAACUGAAGAAACAAAUCAGAGGAAUGGUAAAGGACAAAGGUAAAUACCAGAGGUGGGACCAAGUCACCUAUCAUUCGAGUCACAAGGUCCGAGUUUCAAGUCAAGUCCCAUGUAGAACUUGUCAAGUCCAAGUUGUGCAUUCUAAGAGCAAGUAGAGUUGAGUCGCAAGUCAAGUUUAAAAAAAACAUGUAUACAUGCAAUGACUUGUUGAACGACAAAUCAAUCAAUCAAAUGUAUUUAUAGAGGUCUUUUUACAUCAGCCAAUGUCACAAAGUGCUAAAUCUUUGUCUAUUUAUCGAGUCUACCAGACAGCCCUUUUCAUGAGUUUGUCUACAACACAUUUUGAUUAGCCUAUGUAAUUGUAAAAUAGGGACCUUGUAGCAGUUGUAAGGGCAUGAAAUCAGCAGAAGGCAAGGCAGGUUGACGUGCUCAAGAGUGUAGAUGUAUUUACAGGUUUAGUUGGUGCAACGGUGAAAGUGCCAUAUCAUACCAAAUAUACAAGUAGAUUUACCAAAGAUAUAUGGGCAAUAGCCCAAAAGGAAUAGCCUCUGUAUCAGGCUUAACCUGUCCUAUCUGAACGGAGACAGGCGAGAGGGCAAAACUCUAAAGCGUCCCCUUGAGACACCAAAUUGAAUCUGUUUAACAGCUCAAACAGGUAGACCUACAUAAUAUAAGCACUUGGCCCCCAGAAGCAUAUAAUUACCCAAUUGGCAAAUACAAUCAAUAAACUGGUUCUACAAUGUA
Oncorhynchus gorbuscha (pink salmon) is the source of this 1575-nucleotide RNA transcript. It is a transcript of the gene named centrosomal protein of 290 kDa-like, with no coding region annotated. NCBI's taxonomy places the organism in Eukaryota, Metazoa, Chordata, Actinopteri, Salmoniformes, Salmonidae. The record is from RefSeq and is a predicted model, not a curated record. The transcript is spliced from 5 exons.